RNAcentral lists this ribosomal RNA (469 nucleotides) under uncultured bacterium. Its description in RNAcentral is "SSU rRNA". It matches the Rfam family "Bacterial small subunit ribosomal RNA", at positions 26 to 518 of the family's 1533-position model. The record is from RNAcentral.
AGGACGAACGCUGGCGGCGUGCUUAACACAUGCAAGUCGAGCGGAAAGGCCCUUCGGGGUACUCGAGCGGCGAACGGGUGAGUAACACGUGAGUAACCUGCCCCUAGCUCUGGGAUAGCUCCGGGAAACCGGGAUUAAUACCAGAUACGACCACUUUAGACAUCUGUCGUGGUGGAAAGGAUUCCGGCUAGGGAUGGGCUCGCGGCCUAUCAGCUUGUUGGUGGGGUAACGGCCCACCAAGGCUGUGAUCCGUAGCUGGUCUGAGAGGAUGAUCAGCCACACUGGGACUGAGACACGGCCCAGACUCCUACGGGAGGCAGCAGUGGGGAAUAUUGGACAAUGGGCGCAAGCCUGAUCCAGCAAUGCCGCGUGAGUGAUGAAGGCCUUAGGGUUGUAAAGCUCUUUCGCCCGCGACGAUGAUGACGGUAGCGGGAGAAGAAGCCCCGGCUAACUUCGUGCCAGCAGCCGC